GACGAACGCUGGCGGCGUGCUUAACACAUGCAAGUCGAACGAUGAACCGGUUUCGGCCGGGGAUUAGUGGCGAACGGGUGAGUAACACGUGGGCAACCUGCCCUGCACUCUGGGAUAAGCCCGGGAAACUGGGUCUAAUACCGGAUACGACACUCCGAGGCAUCUUGGGGUGUGGAAAGUUCCGGCGGUGCAGGAUGAGCCCGCGGCCUAUCAGCUUGUUGGUGGGGUAAUGGCCUACCAAGGCGACGACGGGUAGCCGGCCUGAGAGGGUGACCGGCCACACUGGGACUGAGACACGGCCCAGACUCCUACGGGAGGCAGCAGUGGGGAAUAUUGCACAAUGGGCGAAAGCCUGAUGCAGCGACGCCGCGUGAGGGAUGACGGCCUUCGGGUUGUAAACCUCUUUCAGCAGGGAAGAAGCGAAAGUGACGGUACCUGCAGAAGAAGCACCGGCUAACUACGUG
Molecule: ribosomal RNA, 464 nt
Filed under: uncultured bacterium
Lineage: Bacteria
Description: partial 16S ribosomal RNA
Rfam family: Bacterial small subunit ribosomal RNA
Source: RNAcentral